GUUCACAAAUAUCUAAAAAUGGGAUCAGAUAUUGAGAGUCACCAAGCUUCUGGGAAGCCAUCUGAUGAAGUCCUGUCACCUACAGGUGUUUGUCACAGAACUCAUAAACAUAGAUGGAUCUCAAUGGAGUCAGAAAUUGGGCUUGGGAAAAUGGAAACCUACAUCAAAUUAGAAAAACUUGGAAAGGGCACAUAUGCAACAGUUUAUAAAGGAAGAAGUAAACUGACAGAGAAUUUGGUGGCAUUAAAAGAACUAUGCUUGGAAAAUGAAGAAUGCACACCCAGUACAGCAAAAAGAGAAGUUUCACUCUUAAAAGGAUUUUAAACAUGCAAACAUAAUAAAUUUACAAGAUGUUGUUCACAGAGAAAAAUCUUUGACUUUGGUCCUUGAGUAUCUGGAUAAAGACCUAAAACAGUACAUGGAUGGCUGUGGGAACAUCAUGAGUAUGCACAAUGUAAAGCUGUUUCUAUACCAAAUUCUAUGUGGGUUAACUGAUUACUACAGAAGAAUGGUGUUGCAUGGAGACUUGAAAUCACAGAACCUUCUCAUUAAUGAAAAAGAGGAAUUAAAGCUAGCAGAUUUUUGGUAAGGAAUGAUUAAAUAUUUAUCAAUACUUCCAGGUGGUAAGAUAUAAAAGAACAAAUAUUGUCACAAUGUGUUAUCACUUUCAUAUGAAUUUGGAAAUUUUCUCUAAGUCCACUGAACAAUAUUUGACAGAAAUUUGUGGGUGGUUUACAUUGAUUAUUAUCAAAAAAUACUUAAUGGUGUGGGUUCUUGGUGUGGCCCAUGGACCACUGGUUUCUGAUGCCCUUUCAGGGAGUGUCAAGAGGUAUAAAAUAUAUUAGCAGAAGUGCACUAAAUGUUAUUUGCUUUUUUCCCUUUGUUAUUAUUUGCACUGUUGAUCCAGAAGCAAUAAGGAUAAAACAGCUGUUUAAUGGUAUACAUUCAGGCAGUGCCACCAAAGUAUAUCAUAGUAUUCUUCACCACUGAGAAAAAAAGUAUCAGUUACACUUAAAAUAUUUUGCCAAGCAGUAAAGUGCAUUAAAUUUAUUAAAUUUACUUCUUGAGUAAGUGACUAAUAUUUUUGUGUUGUGUAUGUAGAAUGAAAUAUAAAUUAUAUUAAAAAACAUGGACUGUACACAGAAAUACUAUAGUUAUCUCAAGGAAAAGUUUUUGGGUGAUUGUUUGCCUACAAGCUGAACUAGCCAUUUUUUUUAACUUUUCAAGGAACAUCAUUUUUACUAGAAAAAAAUGACCAACAGACAAACUGUGUCUAUUCAGACUUACAUAUUUAGCAGAUUUUUCUUGAAAAUGUAUGAAGUAAGCUUGUCACUUCAAGGAAAUCAACUGCAGGUAUUCCUUGCCAAUAGUAAAAUUCAGGUUUUCAAAUACAAAUUAGAUUGUGAAAAUUUGGAUCUGCUACUUUAAGCUUAAUAUCUUCCCACUACUUAGAAAUUUUUCUGAUGAGAUCAGUGGUGAUAUUAACAAAUAGAGGUUUUUCUUUUUUAUUUUGAUGAAAUUAUAUAAAAAUUUUAAUUUAUAACUCAAGAACAAAUAUUUUUCCAGUUAUCACCACCUCAUAUUUUAGAAUUAUGUAAAAGAUUCAUUUAAAGUGCAAGAUAGACUAUUGAAUUUUAAUAUAAAUAUGAAUAGUUUAUUGAUAGAGUUUCAGUUACCUUAUAACCUUUGAGAAAAAACUGAAUCUAAUUCUAAUAUAUUAAAGAACACUUUCUACAAUUAGAAAUACUUUUUAAAAGUUUCUUCUCUUUUCAAACUUUGUAUCUGUGAGAUUUUAUUUUCUUCAUAUAGCUAGAUAUAUUAUGAUAUAUUGUGAUAUGGAGUAAAGCAACAUAUCACAACAGAUAGAAAGCAAAAGUAAAUAUAGAAUACAUCUGUCUUCUAUCAAAAUAAACUCCAAACACAUUUACUGAAAUGUUAAAAAGUCCAUUCUUAACUAAUUUGUCUUGGAAAUUUUUUUUUCAUAAAAAUGUUAUUUGUGCUAACAUGAGAAGCAUCUUUAAUGCAUAACUAAAUGUUUUAUUUUUUUCUCAUUUUAUGGCAAACAUCAGCACUAAUAAAUAUAAGUAAAAAUAUUUGGGGUUUUUAAUCAAUUUUGAGAACUUAAAAUAAGUCCCAAGACCCAAGAGUUUAAAAACCACCUCUGAAAAGGUGUCCCUUGUAUGCUUGCCACCAUGACUGCAUUUAUUAUGUGGUUAAUAAUUUAAUUGGUAGCUCUUUACUUAUAUCAUUCCAGGUAAUCUGAUUUUAAGGGACUUGAAAGUAAGACAAAAGUAGAUGUUCUUUUUGUUUUGAGUAAAUUGUUUCUACUAGAAGAAGAAAGAA
This is a long non-coding RNA of Sciurus carolinensis (gray squirrel), 2343 nucleotides long. RefSeq lists it as uncharacterized. The transcript has 6 exons. The record is from RefSeq and is a predicted model, not a curated record. Lineage: Eukaryota; Metazoa; Chordata; Mammalia; Rodentia; Sciuridae.